This 29-nucleotide small RNA is filed under the name Bombyx mori (domestic silkworm). Its description in RNAcentral is "ovarian small RNA-20348". Lineage: Eukaryota; Metazoa; Arthropoda; Insecta; Lepidoptera; Bombycidae. The record is from RNAcentral.
UACAUAAACCACGACGGGACACAAACCUA